Long non-coding RNA from Acipenser ruthenus (sterlet), 1109 nucleotides. RefSeq lists it as uncharacterized. Lineage: Eukaryota; Metazoa; Chordata; Actinopteri; Acipenseriformes; Acipenseridae. The transcript has 4 exons. The record is from RefSeq and is a predicted model, not a curated record.
ACAAUAUUAAACUGGUAUUUCUAAGUUUUAAAAAAAAUAAAAAGUGAGGUUUGUGAGCUACUUAGUUCAACCACUUUUUGUUAAUUCCGGUAAUCUUUUUUCUGUUUUCAUUUUUUAGAUCACUAUUAAAAUAAUGUCUCCUGAUCUUCAGAGAGGACAGUUAAAAAUUGUACGGGGAUCUGGUUUGCCAUUAGUACUGACCAACGUUGAGGCGACCUGUGAUGAAGUACUGAACGCUGCAGUUGCUAAGCACAGGGCGUUUGAUCAGAAUUUUCGUGAUGGGGAUUACUACUUACUUUACCCAGACAUGACAAAAGUUCAUUUUAUACCAGGAACCCAGGAGCUUUUUAAUCUUAAAUCCUACAAAGAGGCAUGUGGGAAACCAUACAGAAGAAUUCUAUUAUGUCUAUGUCUGCAGACAGAAUUCCAGAAAAAUGGUAAGUGGAUAAUGUAUUGAAUUUAGAAUUAUAAUAAAGAGUGACUGUGACUCAGAUUACUAUUUUCAUAUUUCCGCAGAAAAUCCUACUGUUGAAAUAUCUGAUAGCGAUUCUGAGGUUAUAUUGAAGCACACAGAGAAUGAUGAUCUGGAUGAAACACUGCCAUGGAAGCAAGGUGCUUCAAAUCAAGCCGAGGCUGACCGAAGUGCACAGCAGUCGUCAUCACAUACCGUGGAUAUGAGACCCCAGGGAAGCAGUAGUAAUAUCUGCUAUAGGAACUACACUGAGGUAUUUGCACCAAUCCCUCUCAGUGAUGACAGCAGUGUUGAAGACACAGAAGAAACUGUGAUAGGUGAUAGAGCUCAAGAAAGCCAUAUUACAAUAAGUAACAUCAUAGAAGAUUUAUUUCUUCAAGUCAAUAAUGCAGCCUGCAGUCGCUUUAUAAUUAAGAGAGCUGAUGUCUGGGAUGGAGCAAUGCGGGGUUUCCGUAGAAGUAACUAUGAACCCCAGAAUUCCAUUAUGGUGAAAUUUACGGAUGACAUUGGAGUCACUGAAGAAGGAAUUGAUACAGGAGGACCAAAACGGGAGUUCCUUGGUCUUCUAAUGGAUCACUUGCAUAAACGUCCCAUAUUUGAAGGACCAGAAACACAAAGGUUUCUUAAAUAUGAUGCA